This 443-nucleotide ribosomal RNA is filed under the name uncultured bacterium. RNAcentral describes it as "partial 16S ribosomal RNA". It matches the Rfam family "Bacterial small subunit ribosomal RNA", at positions 338 to 795 of the family's 1533-position model. The record is from RNAcentral.
CCUACGGGGGGCAGCAGUGGGGAAUAUUGGGCAAUGGGCGCAAGCCUGACCCAGCAAAGCCGCGUGAAGGAAGAAGGCUUUCGGGUUGUAAACUUCUUUUCUCAGGGACGAAGCAAGUGACGGUACCUGAGGAAUAAGCCACGGCUAACUACGUGCAAGCAGCCGCGGUAAUACGUAGGUGGCAAGCGUUAUCCGGAUUUACGCGGUGUAAAGGGCGUGUAGGCGGGGACGCAAGCCAGAUGUGAAAACCACGGGCUCAACCUGUGGCCUGCAUUCGAAACUGUGUUUGUUGAGUACUGGAGAGGCAGACGGAAUUCCUAGUGUAGCGGUGAAAUGCUUAGAUAUUAGGAGGAACCCCAGUGGCGAAGGCGGUCUGCUGGACAGCAACUGACGCUGAUGCGCGAAAGCGUGGGGAGCGAACAGGAUUAGAUACCCUUGUAGUC